UUGUAGGUACUCAUGGGGAACGAGGGUAUGUUUUAUGGUUGAAAGUCAGAAAGCCAACAAAUAACACUUUUGCAAAUACCUGGGUCUUGCAGGUCUUCAACAUGGUUGGUACUGAACAGCUACCUUUCUGCAUGCAGUUCAGUCCGUUGAAAUGUCGGAAGGUAGGUACCCCAAGGAUUUCAUUAGUACCACUCAACAGUCAAUUAAUAGAUGAAACCCACAAAGCA
This is a long non-coding RNA of Pezoporus flaviventris, 227 nucleotides long. RefSeq lists it as uncharacterized. Lineage: Eukaryota; Metazoa; Chordata; Aves; Psittaciformes; Psittacidae. The record is from RefSeq and is a predicted model, not a curated record. The transcript is spliced from 2 exons.